RNAcentral lists this unclassified non-coding RNA (403 nucleotides) under Boletus reticulatus. RNAcentral describes it as "ITS2". The record is from RNAcentral. Lineage: Eukaryota; Fungi; Basidiomycota; Agaricomycetes; Boletales; Boletaceae.
GGAAUUCUCAACCGUGUCUCGAUCUGAUCUCGAGGCAUGGCUUGGACUUGGGAGUUGCUGGCGGCCUCGUCAGCUCUCCUCAAACACAUUAUCGACGUUCAGCAAGCCUGACGUGCACGGCCUUUUUUCGACGUGAUAACGAUCGUCGUGGGCUGGAGCGUAGGGUGAGCGGUGAAUCGCUUCCAAUUCCUUAGACUUAUCAUGGUCUUUUCGAUCUCGAUCUUGAUGGGGGGGAAACUUUUGACCUUCGAGAGACCCGAGCCUUAGUUACUAGUCGGUCGUGAGGCCAACGAACGCAGGGCCUAGGUUUGAAACUUUGAAGCAAUCGCAAUUCCCUCUGUCUCGAUCCAGAAUCAUUUGAACUCUUGACCUCAAAUCAGGUAGGACUACCCGCUGAACUUAA